This 281-nucleotide unclassified non-coding RNA is filed under the name Hevea brasiliensis (rubber tree). The record is from RNAcentral. Lineage: Eukaryota; Viridiplantae; Streptophyta; Magnoliopsida; Malpighiales; Euphorbiaceae.
AUCAGAUCAGAAUCUUGAGAGAUUGUCGGAAGAUUGACAUGCAUGAUUUGUGGCUAAAGUGGUAGAUUUAAAUUGAACUGAGAAUUACGCAAUUAGGCGAGAUAGACGCACGACAUCAAUUUCCUCCAAUCACACAGAUUUGCCACUGAUUCCGAACGCAACCUCUAUAAAAGGGCAGACCUGCCAGUUAAAAUAAUGUUGUUGAUUCUCAUAAGAAUUCCUAAGUGACAGCAGAGUUCUCUCUAGAAGACAACCGGAGACGAAUAGCUCGAGAGAGAAGA